AGAGUUUGAUCCUGGCUCAGAUUGAACGCUGGCGGCAGGCCUAACACAUGCAAGUCGAGCGGUAACAGAUCCAGCUUGCUGGAUGCUGACGAGCGGCGGACGGGUGAGUAACGCAUAGGAAUUUACCCGAUAGUGGGGGAUAACCUGGGGAAACUCAGGCUAAUACCGCAUACGUCCUACGGGAGAAAGGGGGCCUUGGCUCCCGCUAUCGGAUGAGCCUAUGCCGGAUUAGCUGGUUGGUGAGGUAAUGGCUCACCAAGGCGACGAUCCGUAGCUGGUCUAAGAGGAUGAUCAGCCACAUCGGGACUGAGACACGGCCCGAACUCCUACGGGAGGCAGCAGUGGGGAAUAUUGGACAAUGGGGGCAACCCUGAUCCAGCCAUGCCGCGUGUGUGAAGAAGGCCCUCGGGUUGUAAAGCACUUUCAGCGAGGAAGAACGCCUGGCGGUUAAUACCCGCCAGGAAAGACAUCACUCGCAGAAGAAGCACCGGCUAACUCCGUGCCAGCAGCCGCGGUAAUACGGAGGGUGCAAGCGUUAAUCGGAAUUACUGGGCGUAAAGCGCGCGUAGGUGGCUUGAUAAGCCGGUUGUGAAAGCCCCGGGCUCAACCUGNGAACGGCACCCGGAACUGUCAGGCUAGAGUGCA
This 645-nucleotide ribosomal RNA is filed under the name uncultured bacterium. RNAcentral's name for it is "bacterial SSU rRNA". It matches the Rfam family "Bacterial small subunit ribosomal RNA", at positions 8 to 650 of the family's 1533-position model. The record is from RNAcentral.